This is a non-coding RNA of Acanthosepion pharaonis, 114 nucleotides long. Lineage: Eukaryota; Metazoa; Mollusca; Cephalopoda; Sepiida; Sepiidae. The record is from the annotation of a GenBank genome assembly.
UUACGGCUAUAUCACCUGGAAACACCAGUUUACGUACGAUCACCGAAAUUAAGCAAUGUCGAGUCAGGCCAGUACCUAGAUGGGUGACUGUUUGGGAAUACCAGGUGCUGUAAG